AUUGAACGCUGGCGGCAUGCCUUACACAUGCAAGUCGAACGGCAGCACGGGAGCAAUCCUGGUGGCGAGUGGCGAACGGGUGAGUAAUAUAUCGGAACGUGCCCAGUCGUGGGGAUAACGUAGCGAAAGCUACGCUAAUACCGCAUACGAUCUAUGGAUGAAAGCGGGGGAUCGCAAGACCUCGCGCGAUUGGAGCGGCCGAUAUCAGAUUAGGUAGUUGGUGAGGUAAAGGCUCACCAAGCCGACGAUCUGUAGCUGGUCUGAGAGGACGACCAGUCACACUGGAACUGAGACACGGUCCAGACUCCUACGGGAGGCAGCAGUGGGGAAUAUUGGACAAUGGGCGAAAGCCUGAUCCAGCCAUGCCGCGUGUGUGAAGAAGGUCUUCAGAUUGUAAAGCACUUUAAGUUGGGAGGAAGGGCAGUAAGUUAAUACCUUGCUGUUUUGACGUUACCAACAGAAUAAGACACCGGCUAACU
This 479-nucleotide ribosomal RNA is filed under the name uncultured bacterium. Its description in RNAcentral is "bacterial SSU rRNA". It matches the Rfam family "Bacterial small subunit ribosomal RNA", at positions 30 to 502 of the family's 1533-position model. The record is from RNAcentral.